Molecule: ribosomal RNA, 367 nt
Filed under: uncultured bacterium
Lineage: Bacteria
Description: partial 16S ribosomal RNA
Rfam family: Bacterial small subunit ribosomal RNA
Source: RNAcentral
CCUACGGGAGGCUGCAGUGAGGAAUAUUGGUCAAUGGGCGCGAGCCUGAACCAGCCAAGUAGCGUGAAGGAUGACUGCCCUACGGGUUGUAAACUUCUUUUAUAAAGGAAUAAAGUGAGGCACGUGUGCCUUUUUGUAUGUACUUUAUGAAUAAGGAUCGGCUAACUCCGUGCCAGCAGCCGCGGUAAAACGGAGGCUCCGAGCGUUAUCCGGCUUUAUUGGGUUUAAAGGGCGCGUAGAUGGGUUGUUAAGUCAGUUGUGAAAGUUUGCGGCUCAACCGUAAAAUUGCAAUUGAUACUGGCAGUCUUGCGUACAGUUGAGGUAGGCUGAAUUCGUGGUGUAGCGGUUAAAUGCUUAGAUCUCACGA